Aedes aegypti (yellow fever mosquito) is the source of this 117-nucleotide non-coding RNA. The record is from Rfam. Lineage: Eukaryota; Metazoa; Arthropoda; Insecta; Diptera; Culicidae.
UGCCCAGCAACUCCUAUCCCUACCUCCUCGUGGUACUGGCCGGGGUACGAGUAACCUUGGGGAAGAUCGGGUAACCAACCCCCGGUGGGAACUUAGGUCGUAUGCUGACAGGGAAGG